GAUGAAGAACGUAGCGAAAUGCGAUAAGUAAUGUGAAUUGCAGAAUUCAGUGAAUCAUCGAAUCUUUGAACGCACAUUGCGCCCGCUAGUAUUCUGGCGGGCAUGCCUGUCCGAGCGUCAUUUCAACCCUCAAGCCCCCGGGCUUGGUGUUGGGGAUCGGCGAGCCUCCGCGCCCGCCGUCCCCUAAAUCUAGUGGCGGUCUCGCAGUAGCUUCCUCUGCGUAGUAGCACACCUCGCACUGGGAAACAGCGCGGCCACGCCGUUAAACCCCCAACUUCUGAACGUUUGACCUCGGAUCAGGUAGGAAUACCCGCUGAACUUAAGCAUAUCAAUAAGCGGAGGA
RNAcentral lists this unclassified non-coding RNA (343 nucleotides) under soil metagenome. RNAcentral describes it as "partial contains 5.8S ribosomal RNA, internal transcribed spacer 2, and large subunit ribosomal RNA". The stretch from base 1 to 120 matches the Rfam family "5.8S ribosomal RNA", at positions 35 to 154 of the family's 154-position model. The record is from RNAcentral.